GCAAGUCGAGCGAAUGGAUUAAGAGCUUGCUCUUAUGAAGUUAGCGGCCGACGGGUGAGUAACACGUGGGUAACCUGCCCAUAAGACUGGCAUAACUCCGGGAAACCGGGGCUAAUACCGGAUAACAUUUUGAACCGCAUGGUUCGAAAUUGAAAGGCGGCUUCGGCUGUCACUUAUGGAUGGACCCGCGUCGCAUUAGCUAGUUGGUGAGGUAACGGCUCACCAAGGCAACGAUGCGUAGCCGACCUGAGAGGGUGAUCGGCCACACUGGGACUGAGACACGGCCCAGACUCCUACGGGAGGCAGCAGUAGGGAAUCUUCCGCAAUGGACGAAAGUCUGACGGAGCAACGCCGCGUGAGUGAUGAAGGCUUUCGGGUCGUAAAACUCUGUUGUUAGGGAAGAACAAGUGCUAGUUGAAUAAGCUGGCACCUUGACGGUACCUAACCAGAAAGCCACGGCUAACUACGUGCCAGCAGCCGCGGUAAUACGUAGGUGGCAAGCGUUAUCCGGAAUUAUUGGGCGUAAAGCGCGCGCAGGUGGUUUCUUAAGUCUGAUGUGAAAGCCCACGGCUCAACCGUGGAGGGUCAUUGGAAACUGGGAGACUUGAGUGCAGAAGAGGAAAGUGGAAUUCCAUGUGUAGCGGUGAAAUGCGUAGAGAUAUGGAGGAACACCAGUGGCGAACGCGACUUUCUGGUCUGUAACUGACACUG
Molecule: ribosomal RNA, 711 nt
Filed under: Bacillus sp. CSu4_13
Lineage: Bacteria; Bacillati; Bacillota; Bacilli; Caryophanales; Bacillaceae
Description: bacterial SSU rRNA
Rfam family: Bacterial small subunit ribosomal RNA
Source: RNAcentral